UUUGACUUAUGCUGUGUCACUAUAAUGCUGCUGCCGGCAACUUGUGGCAAUAUAUUUAUACUCUAAACUAGAGAUGGACCGAUCCGAUAUUACGUAUCGGUCCGAAACUAGCGUAAAUCACUGGAUCGGAUAUUGGAGAGAAACAAAAAAAUGUAAUCCGAUCCAUUAAAUAUCAAAAAAGCACCUCACAAAACUUGCGACACAGCAUAACUCGGCUCAUAACCGUAGCACGUCGGACCAGUGAAAAGGGAAAAGGGGGCACAAAGACAUACUUUUCUUUCUUAUUCUCAUUUAAAAUGUCGAGCUUUUAAUAAAUAAUUAUCUGAAUCUUACACCCAAAGUUUUAAUCUGAUGUAAAAUGUAUAGAAGUCCAUUACUGUAUAUAGUAACUAUUAGGUCUAAUAUACCCUAGUAAGCUAUAGUACUUUUUCCUUUGGGAGGGAACCAUCUGUGCAGUCUGCAGUUCUGUUGAAGAAAGAUGUUGAAUCUAUUUAAUAUUUAUUGAAAAAUAAUUUAUUUCUGUGCUUUUUUUUUUUUUUUUUUUUUUUUUUUUUUUUUUACACACUGCAUCAAAUUACAGUUGAUUACGUCAAUUAAGCAUCAUGAGGUGGAGGGUGGGUGGUUCCCUAUUUUAUUUUUAUUUUUUUUGCUGGGAGUUUUAAAGCCCUAUUAGUUAGGUUGCUUACUCUUUAAAAUACCAGAAUAGGGAGGAUGGAGCAGGUUUAAGUUUAUUAGGUUGAUCAGUUUUGCUGAACUAUGAAAUAUUUUGGCUGCAGUGUAUUUUUUUUUUAAACAUACAGGUAUAAAAGAAUAGCUUUAGUGGGGGGUUUUAAACUUGAGUAUGAACUUAUACAAAAAGCAGCAAGAUAUUAAAAAAAACUGUUUUAUUGAUUAAAAAACACUAUAUUGGAUUCAUAUCGGUAUCGGCAGAUAUCCGAAUUUAUGAUAUCGGUAUCGGCAGAUAUCCGAAUUUAUGAUAUCGGUAUCGGCAGAUAUCCGAAUUUAUGAUAUCGGUAUCGGACAUAAAAAGUGGUAUCGUG
Astatotilapia calliptera (eastern happy) is the source of this 1040-nucleotide long non-coding RNA. NCBI's taxonomy places the organism in Eukaryota, Metazoa, Chordata, Actinopteri, Cichliformes, Cichlidae. The record is from Ensembl.